This 797-nucleotide ribosomal RNA is filed under the name uncultured bacterium. RNAcentral's name for it is "bacterial SSU rRNA". It matches the Rfam family "Bacterial small subunit ribosomal RNA", at positions 8 to 796 of the family's 1533-position model. The record is from RNAcentral.
AGAGUUUGAUCAUGGCUCAGAUUGAACGCUGGCGGCAUUGCUUUACACAUUGCAAGUCGAGCGGCAGCGCGGGGGCAACCCUGGCGGCGAGCGGCGAACGGGUGAGUAAUACAUCGGAACGUGUCCCGUAGUGGGGGAUAACCCGGCGAAAGCCGGACUAAUACCGCAUAUGCUCUACGGAGGAAAGUGGGGGACCCGCAAGGGCCUCACGCUAUGGGAGCGGCCGAUGUCCGAUUAGCUUGUUGGUGAGGUAACGGCUUACCAAGGCGACGAUCGGUAGCUGGUCUGAGAGGAUGAUCAGCCACACUGGGACUGAGACACGGCCCAGACUCCUACGGGAGGCAGCAGUGGGGAAUUUUGGACAAUGGGGGCAACCCUGAUCCAGCCAUGCCGCGUGCGGGAAGAAGGCCUUCGGGUUGUAAACCGCUUUUGUCCGGAAAGAAAAGGCAUUCCCUAAUACGGAGUGCUCUUGACGGUACCGGAAGAAUAAGCACCGGCUAACUACGUGCCAGCAGCCGCGGUAAUACGUAGGGUGCGAGCGUUAAUCGGAAUUACUGGGCGUAAAGCGUGCGCAGGCGGUUCGUGAUGUCUGAUGUGAAAGCCCCGGGCUUAACCUGGGAAUGGCAUUGGAAACUAGCGGGCUGGAGUGUGGCAGAGGGGGGUGGAAUUCCACGUGUAGCAGUGAAAUGCGUAGAGAUGUGGAGGAACACCGAUGGCGAAGGCAGCCCCCUGGGCUAACACUGACGCUCAUGCACGAAAGCGUGGGGAGCAAACAGGAUUAGAUACCCCCGUAGUCC